This 1444-nucleotide long non-coding RNA is filed under the name Rhinolophus ferrumequinum (greater horseshoe bat). Its description in RNAcentral is "lncRNA (ENSRFEG00010003599.1)". The record is from RNAcentral. Lineage: Eukaryota; Metazoa; Chordata; Mammalia; Chiroptera; Rhinolophidae.
CUCAAAUGAUCGACAUAUGGUCUACUUCCAAUCUUUUGGAUUCAAAGUACUCCAGCGUUUCUUCCUCUCCAAGAAUUCCAGCUGACAAUUUUCCGAUUACAUUUUUUUCUAUAGUGACCUAAUUCAAUUCGGUCUUUUCAACGUAAUUUUCUUCGUCAUUGAAGAAACAGGGUAAUGUGCAAUUUCACUGGUUCCGGUGUUCCAGCUCAGACCCCCAGUCUGAAGCCCUUUUUCUCCUCUCAAAUGGUGCAUAUGUGAGCAACUGGUGAAAAGGGGCAGGCACUGGGCGGGUACGCGUCCCGCUUCCCUUCAGCCCAGGAAACAGGCCAGCCAGGGGUCUGCCAGUGGACACGUCCUGGGGACGUUGGGGGCCCGGACUGAGGAACCCACGACGUUCCUGAGUCGACCCGCCUGCACCCCGGCACCUCAAGGAAUGGGUAAUCAAAAGAUGUUUCCUUAGGAGGAGAGAACCCCCAGGGUAACCCAGCAAGGGAGCAUCGCGGCACACUAGCCGCCAGUCCAGGGACGUCGCAAAGACGCGCGCCUGCGCAGUGGCGCUUCGCGCCUCGCCAGCUUUCCUUCCCACGACCUCCCUUCCAGCGCCUGCGUACCAAGACCCGCUUCCCGCAGGCCUGCGAAGCUGGGGAUACCGGAUAGCUUUUCCUGCCGACUGAGGUGGGAACGAUAGGCUCGUACCUGACUCCACUGUCUCUCCCGUCCCAGCCUACCAGACUAACUAUACACGUUCCAUCGCAAGUCACCCUAGAACGGAGGGACUUGAUCCUUGAGGAGUUCAGGAAACUGGCAUGCGCCCACGUAUCCCGGAGGGGUGUGUGUGUGUGUGUGUGUGUGUGUGUGUGUUGGGGGCGGUCACCCAGCGGCUCCGCUUCAAACUACCGUGAGACGAGAGCUGCCUCUAGGGCCCAACCCCCUCGCUUGGGUCUGGGGCCCCGCGAGACAGUGGGCAGGGGUGGGGGCGCCGAGAGCGGGGGCGGGGUGCAGCGGCCGAGUGACAGUAAGCCUCACCUAUACCGGGCGCGGACCGCGGCGGAGUAGUGGGCCCGGCAGCCAAUGGAAAGCGGCGGGAGGCGGGGGGACCGGCCAGCGGGGAGGGGGCGCCCACGCGGGGGAACGCGAGGGGAGGAGGGGAUGUGCUCCUGAUCCGGUUCCAUCCGGUUCUCCCACUGCCCCUGUCGCGAGUCCCAGCAGCUCCGGAGCUGGAGAAGCGGCAGCUACCAGGCAGCCCAGCUUCGCGAAGGCUCUCGGCGCGCUGCGGCCCGCAGGCUUCCGGCACGCGCCCGCCCCGCUGCCACGAAGCCCGAGAGGAAGGUCAGCUCCGCCGAGGGGGCAGCGAAGGAGGAGCCCAAGAGGAGGUCGGCGAGGUUGUCAGCUGACUGCCGGAGUUCAUGUGCCCUCCUCGGCAUCAGAGAACAGGCCAGUGUAA